GGAUCAAUAGUACAGUGUUUAGUACUUCUGGGUCACAAUCACAAGGUCACUGGUUCGAAUCCAACUAAGAAACA
Non-coding RNA from Gigaspora rosea, 74 nucleotides. The record is from the annotation of a GenBank genome assembly. NCBI's taxonomy places the organism in Eukaryota, Fungi, Glomeromycota, Glomeromycetes, Diversisporales, Gigasporaceae.